UCAUACAUUCAGAAUGUCUUAUUUACCAAUGAGAAAAUGCACUCUUCUUUAAAAUUAUCUCGGAGGAUCGGGCCUGGUUAGUACUUGGACGGGAGACCUCCUAGGAAGACCAGGUGCUGUAGGCA
RNAcentral lists this ribosomal RNA (125 nucleotides) under Pteropus vampyrus (large flying fox). Lineage: Eukaryota; Metazoa; Chordata; Mammalia; Chiroptera; Pteropodidae. The record is from RNAcentral.